GCCUGGGUGGCUCAGUCGGUCGAGCGUCCAACUUCAGCUCAGGUCAUGAUCUCACAGUUUGUGGGUUCAAACCCCACGCCAGGCU
This 85-nucleotide transfer RNA is filed under the name Felis catus (domestic cat). It matches the Rfam family "tRNA". Rfam says of the family: Transfer RNA (tRNA) molecules are approximately 80 nucleotides in length. Their secondary structure includes four short double-helical elements and three loops (D, anti-codon, and T loops). The record is from Rfam by way of RNAcentral. Lineage: Eukaryota; Metazoa; Chordata; Mammalia; Carnivora; Felidae.